AUCCAUCUGACGAGUCCCAAAUAGGACGAAACGCAUUGCGUUCUGGGC
This 48-nucleotide non-coding RNA is filed under the name Schistosoma mansoni. Lineage: Eukaryota; Metazoa; Platyhelminthes; Trematoda; Strigeidida; Schistosomatidae. The record is from RNAcentral.